AUACGUAGGGGGCGAGCGUUGUCCGGAAUGAUUGGGCGUAAAGGGCGCGUAGGCGGCCUGUUAAGUCUGGAGUGAAAGUCCUGUUUUCAAGAUGGGAAUUGCUUUGGAUACUGAUGGGCUUGAGUGCAGGAGAGGUUAUCGGAAUUCCCGGUGUUGCGGUGAAAUGCGUAGAGAUCGGGAGGAACACCAGUGGCGAAGGCGGGUAACUGGACUGCAACUGACGCUGAGGCGCGAAAGUGUGGGGAGCAAACAGGAUUAGAUACCCUGGUAGUCCACACUGUAAACGAUGAAUGCUAGGUGUAAGAGGUAUCGACCCCUUUUGUGCCGGAGUUAACACAAUAAGCAUUCCGCCUGGGGAGUACGGCCGCAAGGUUGAAACUCAAAUGAAUUGACGGGG
This 397-nucleotide ribosomal RNA is filed under the name uncultured bacterium. Its description in RNAcentral is "partial 16S ribosomal RNA". It matches the Rfam family "Bacterial small subunit ribosomal RNA", at positions 523 to 918 of the family's 1533-position model. The record is from RNAcentral.